GACGAACGCUGGCGGCGUGUCUAAUACAUGCAAGUUGAGCGAUGAAGAUUGGUGCUUGCACCAAUUUGAAGAGCAGCGAACGGGUGAGUAACGCGUGGGGAAUCUGCCUUUGAGCGGGGGACAACAUUUGGAAACGAAUGCUAAUACCGCAUAACAACUUUAAACAUAAGUUUUAAGUUUGAAAGAUGCAAUUGCAUCACUCAAAGAUGAUCCCGCGUUGUAUUAGCUAGUUGGUGAGGUAAAGGCUCACCAAGGCGAUGAUACAUAGCCGACCUGAGAGGGUGAUCGGCCACAUUGGGACUGAGACACGGCCCAAACUCCUACGGGAGGCAGCAGUAGGGAAUCUUCGGCAAUGGACGAAAGUCUGACCGAGCAACGCCGCGUGAGUGAAGAAGGUUUUCGGAUCGUAAAACUCUGUUGGUAGAGAAGAACGUUGGCGAGAGUGGAAAGCUCAUCAAGUGACGGUAACUACCCAGAAAGGGACGGCUAACUACGUG
This 497-nucleotide ribosomal RNA is filed under the name uncultured bacterium. Its description in RNAcentral is "partial 16S ribosomal RNA". It matches the Rfam family "Bacterial small subunit ribosomal RNA", at positions 28 to 507 of the family's 1533-position model. The record is from RNAcentral.